CUGGUCUCUCAGGGUCUGCCGCGACUGCCCCAUUCCUGAUUCUAGUCUUUGCUUUUUGAGACAACAGAGCACAAAUUCCAUUUCAGAGGCAACCGUGAGGCGUGCGACAUGGCCGCAGAUGGGGUUUAUUUCUUGGAUUUUUCUCUCCAGUGUCCCGUCUGAUCUGAGCUCUGUUCAUUAGAACUCAGGGUGUUUCUUGCUGAUUGAGUGAGAACGGACACAGAGCCCUGAAUUCUCCUGGAGGCUGCUCAUUGGAAAGUCUGCUCCAAUUCACUGCAGAUAUAUAAAGCCUCGCACCAGACUGCAUCUCGGGAAACACUGUUCUGCUCUGUUCUAUUUUGUCCUGUUCUAUUUCCCCCAAAGGCUGAGUGCGGAGCUUCCUGAGGCAAAACUCCUGUGGACCCACCAGGAAGCUGGUCUUGAAAGAUGCUGCACCAGACGACUCGUCCACUCACUAGAGACUCACUUUGCCGGAGAAGGGCUCGGGCGUCGUUGGAAGAACCCAAAGCCAGGCAUGAAAGGACCUCAGCCAGGGAGGGCACCGCAUUCACACAAAUGCUGCGUGUUCCCAUGGAAACAGCACAAAACCUGACCGAGGAAAUGAAUGCUGAAUUGGACUGAUUCCCCGUGAAUAAAGGGGAGAAACGCAAAGCAAUGUAAACAAAGCCAAAAGCAGGAGCAACGCCAGGGCAAACGGAGGCAGAGUCCUCGCGUAUCUGUGAUCAGCACCGGCCCAUCCUGGGUGCAAGAGAGCCCGCUGCCAACUCGCCCCCGUCACAGCAGCUGCCUCAGCCUCCCCAGCCAGCUGUCCCUAGCCCUGGACCUCACCACCCCUGCCAGCCCGUGCCAUCCUCAGUUUCGGGGCUCACUGCGGCUGCCGCUGGGCUUGAGGGAAGGGCAGUGGUGGGCGGGAGAGGCGGGAGGCCCUUCUAUGGUGCCCGUGGAGUUGUUUCCUGUGUGGGGUGCAGGCUGCCCAGCUGUGUUCACUGUGAAAAUCUACCCGGACACACAUUCACAACUGGUAAAUUGAACUUCAAUAAAAAGGUAAAAUGUAG
RNAcentral lists this long non-coding RNA (1055 nucleotides) under Homo sapiens (human). Its description in RNAcentral is "HSALNT0197592". The record is from RNAcentral. Lineage: Eukaryota; Metazoa; Chordata; Mammalia; Primates; Hominidae.